GUCUUAAAGCAGCUGGAGAUGAGCGCCGAGGAGCUGGGUCUAGAAGACAAAACAAAACAAAAAAAAAGACUUUGCGGAACGGUCUGCCUGAAGGCUUCGGGAAGGGGACAAAGAGAACAGGCCGGGGUAGUUAUUUGUAUAAAAAGUGGGAUAUGGCGUUUUUAACGUUUGGGGGACGUCCGCAGCUUCCGCAGGGGCAGAAGGUAAGGCGCUUGUGCUCGCUAUGGCGCCGGCAGCACCAAGGACAGCGCCCAGGUCGGCGAGUGGGAGGUGCAGCCACCCGGGGGGCUUGUCACCCAGCCUGGCCUGUCAGGUUGGCAGGGGGCAGGGGGUUCCCUUCCCCCUCUUCUCUCCGAGUAAAUACAAUUUAAACCUGCCUGUAGUGACUAUCUUUGCAGGAGCGAAGCUGGAAUCACAGGCUAAGACUUCCCUGCAAUGCAGGGUUGGCACAAUGGACAGAUCGCAGAUUUUGAAAACAACCAAAAUUCAUUAAAGUCAGUUAACAGAAAUAUAUACUUGUAGCCCAGUUUGAGUUUUCUAACAUAUGGUGGUAUAGGAAAUGAAGAGAUACAGGGCCUGAAAUGUGAAGGUCAAAUACUCCUUGGAAAGGAGAAUUUGAAAUCUGUUGGGAUGAAAAGUCCAGGGAAAUAUAGUUUUUCUUAAGUUUGGACACAGACAAUUGCCUUGUCAUCUUUCGGUUCAGUAUUCCCUAUGUGUAACUGCAAUGAUUGAAAAGGCAUCUGAAUUAACUUUAAAUUGAUUUAAAAGUUGCGGAACAGAGUCACCACAACCUUGAAUAAAAUCAGAUGUUUUCCCUUCAUUUAAAAUGUAAUAUAUUUUUCGCUUUAGAUUUUAAUGAUUGAUUUGGAAUAGAUUUUCUAUAUCAUUAAACAUGUUUAUGCAAACAAGAACUCUACACAGACUUCUUGCUGUCUGGUGUACUCCUGUUAAAAUGUCCCUUUAUUUUGGGUAGUGCUUUGGGGGUAAUUCAGGUUAAAAAAGUUCAGAAUACUACAAGAUAAAGUGAAGAAGAGAUUGCAGAACUAACAACAGCGCUGGGGCCACAGAGACGGGGUUUCACUACGUUGCCCAGGUUGGUCUGGAACUCCAGGACUCACUCAAUCUUCUAGCCUCGGCCUCCCAAGGUGCUGGGAUUACAGGCGUGAGCCACCGUGCCUACUCGAAUGAGGUUUUUGGCAUUGUGCUUGCACUGAAUAAAAGCAAGCAGCUCCAGCUUCUCCGGGCUGCUCUUUGGACACCAGAGCCAGGCAGUCACCUAGCUGCUCUUACAGUGCAUACCUGUGUCUGAAUGGUCAUUUCAUCCAUCUGCCAGCGUCUGCAGGACAGAGCCAGCAGGUGGUGCCCUGUGUGAGGAAUGCUGCAACAGAUUGUGACAAAACCCUCGAGAAUGAAAGUGAAGUGACUGCGCACCCCGCCGUUACCGAGUAAAGGUGCCACAGAGGAGACAAAUAUUUUCCCUGAGCCCUCUCUCCCAAUAUAUUGGAAAAAAUACAAGGGAUACACUACUGUUAUGGGACCCUGUCUUAGUCAAGUGGAAUUAGAAGGGAGCUCUUGACCUGCCCAGUGAUGCAAGAUCAACAAGACAAUCAGUAAGAAACGUACAAACAUUAAGAAGAGCCUAUUCAGAAAAGACAG
Molecule: long non-coding RNA, 1656 nt
Filed under: Homo sapiens (human)
Lineage: Eukaryota; Metazoa; Chordata; Mammalia; Primates; Hominidae
Description: non-protein coding lnc-NEFL-6:10
Source: RNAcentral